RNAcentral lists this ribosomal RNA (256 nucleotides) under uncultured bacterium. RNAcentral describes it as "partial 16S ribosomal RNA". It matches the Rfam family "Bacterial small subunit ribosomal RNA", at positions 524 to 777 of the family's 1533-position model. The record is from RNAcentral.
UACGUAGGUGGCGAGCGUUGUCCGGAUUUAUUGGGCGUAAAGCGCGCGCAGGCGGUGCGGUAAGUCCGUCGUGAAAUCUCCCGGCUCAACUGGGAGGGUGCGGUGGAGACUGCCGGACUGGAGGCACUCAGAGGCCGGUGGAAUUCCCGGUGUAGUGGUGAAAUGCGUAGAGAUCGGGAGGAACACCAGUGGCGAAGGCGGCCGGCUGGGGGUGACCUGACGCUGAGGCGGCGAAAAGCGUGGGGAGCGAACCGGG